This 252-nucleotide unclassified non-coding RNA is filed under the name uncultured fungus. RNAcentral's name for it is "partial contains 5.8S ribosomal RNA, internal transcribed spacer 2, and large subunit ribosomal RNA". The record is from RNAcentral. Lineage: Eukaryota; Fungi.
AACGCACAUUGCGCCUCUUGGUAUUCCUCGAGGCAUGCCUAUUCGAGCGUCGUUUCGACCCUUAAGCGCAAGCUUAGUGUUGGGGACCGCCCCUGAAAUACGGAGGCGGCCCUUGAAUCCAUCGGCGGUGCCGGUGCAGCCUGGAGCGCAGCAGCAAUGCAGCUUUGAGCAGCCCGAAGCCAGCCGGACAAACGAAACUUCAUUUUUUCUCACGUCGACCUCGAAUUAGGUAGGGAUACCCGCUGAACUUAA